CGGCGGCCGUAACUAUAACGGUCCUAAGGUAGCGAAAUUCCUUGUCGGGUAAGUUCCGACCUGCACGAAUGGCGUAAUGAUGGCCAGGCUGUCUCCACCCGAGACUCAGUGAAAUUGAACUCGCUGUGAAGAUGCAGUGUACCCGCGGCAAGACGGAAAGACCCCGUGAACCUUUACUAUAGCUUGACACUGAACAUUGAGCCUUGAUGUGUAGGAUAGGUGGGAGGCUUUGAAGCGUGGACGCCAGUCUGCGUGGAGCCGACCUUGAAAUACCACCCUUUAAUGUUUGAUGUUCUAACGUGGACCCGUAAUCCGGGUUGCGGACAGUGUCUGGUGGGUAGUUUGACUGGGGCGGUCUCCUCCUAAAGAGUAACGGAGGAGCACGAAGGUUGGCUAAUCCUGGUCGGACAUCAGGAGGUUAGUGCAAUGGCAUAAGCCAGCUUGACUGCGAGCGUGACGGCGCGAGCAGGUGCGAAAGCAGGUCAUAGUGAUCCGGUGGUUCUGAAUGGAAGGGCCAUCGCUCAACGGAUAAAAGGUACUCCGGGGAUAACAGGCUGAUACCGCCCAAGAGUUCAUAUCGACGGCGGUGUUUGGCACCUCGAUGUCGGCUCAUCACAUCCUGGGGCUGAAGUAGGUCCCAAGGGUAUGGCUGUUCGCCAUUUAAAGUGGUACGCGAGCUGGGUUUAGAACGUCGUGAGACAGUUCGGUCCCUAUCUGCCGUGGGCGCUGGAGAACUGAGGGGGGCUGCUCCUAGUACGAGAGGACCGGAGUGGACGCAUCACUGGUGUUCGGGUUGUCAUGCCAAUGGCACUGCCCGGUAGCUAAAUGCGGAAGAGAUAAGUGCUGAAAGCAUCUAAGCACGAAACUUGCCCCGAGAUGAGUUCUCCCUGAGACUUAGAGUCUCCUGAAGGAACGUUGAAGACGACGACGUUGAUAGGCCGGGUGUGUAAGCGCAGCGAUGCGUUGAGCUAACCGGUACUAAUGAACCGUGAGGCUUAACCUUACAACGCCGAAG
RNAcentral lists this ribosomal RNA (1015 nucleotides) under Salmonella enterica subsp. enterica serovar Anatum. RNAcentral's name for it is "partial 23S ribosomal RNA". It matches the Rfam family "Bacterial large subunit ribosomal RNA", at positions 1928 to 2925 of the family's 2925-position model. The record is from RNAcentral. Lineage: Bacteria; Pseudomonadati; Pseudomonadota; Gammaproteobacteria; Enterobacterales; Enterobacteriaceae.